Molecule: transfer RNA, 77 nt
Filed under: Mycetocola lacteus
Lineage: Bacteria; Bacillati; Actinomycetota; Actinomycetes; Micrococcales; Microbacteriaceae
Description: tRNA-Met
Rfam family: tRNA
About the family: Transfer RNA (tRNA) molecules are approximately 80 nucleotides in length. Their secondary structure includes four short double-helical elements and three loops (D, anti-codon, and T loops).
Source: RNAcentral
GGGGCGGUAGCCAAGCUGGUUAAGGCAUUCGGCUCAUAACCGAACGAUCGCGGGUUCAAGUCCCGCCCGCCCUACAA